UGACUGAGCGGCGGACGGGUGAGUAACGCGUGGGUAACCUGCCUCAUACAGGGGAAUAACAGUUAGAAAUGGCUGCUAAUGCCGCAUAAGCGCACAGGACCGCAUGGUCUGGUGUGAAAAACUCCGGUGGUAUGAGAUGGACCCGCGUCUGAUUAGGUAGUUGGCGGGGUAACGGCCCACCAAGCCGACGAUCAGUAGCCGACCUGAGAGGGUGACCGGCCACAUUGGGACUGAGACACGGCCCAGACUCCUACGGGAGGCAGCAGUGGGGAAUAUUGCACAAUGGAGGAAACUCUGAUGCAGCGACGCCGCGUGAAGGAAGAAGUAUCUCGGUAUGUAAACUUCUAUCAGCAGGGAAGAAAAUGACGGUACCUGACUAAGAAGCCCCGGCUAACUACGUGCCAGCAGCCGCGGUAAUACGUAGGGGGCAAGCGUUAUCCGGAUUUACUGGGUGUAAAGGGAGCGUAGACGGACGGGCAAGUCUGAUGUGAAAGCCCGGGGCUUAACCCCGGGACUGCAUUGGAAACUGUCCAUCUUGAGUGCCGGAGAGGUAAGCGGAAUUCCUAGUGUAGCGGUGAAAUGCGUAGAUAUUAGGAGGAACACCAGUGGCGAAGGCGGCUUACUGGA
RNAcentral lists this ribosomal RNA (627 nucleotides) under uncultured Lachnospiraceae bacterium. Its description in RNAcentral is "bacterial SSU rRNA". It matches the Rfam family "Bacterial small subunit ribosomal RNA", at positions 88 to 733 of the family's 1533-position model. Lineage: Bacteria; Bacillati; Bacillota; Clostridia; Lachnospirales; Lachnospiraceae. The record is from RNAcentral.